GACGAACGCUGGCGGCGUGCCUAACACAUGCAAGUCGAACGAGGUCCAACCAGUGGCAACACUGGGGAAGCCCUAGUGGCGAACGGGUGAGUAUCACGUGAGGAACCUGCCCCGAAGACCGGGAUAACCCUCCGAAAGGAGAGCUAAUACCGGAUGCCCUUACCGGACCGCAUGGUCUGGCGAGGAAAUGGAUUCCGCUUCGGGAGGGUCUCGCGGCCUAUCAGCUAGUUGGUGGGGUAACGGCCCACCAAGGCUUCGACGGGUAGCUGGUCUGAGAGGACGAUCAGCCACACUGGGACUGAGACACGGCCCAGACUCCUACGGGAGGCAGCAGUGGGGAAUCUUGCGCAAUGGGCGAAAGCCUGACGCAGCAACGCCGCGUGGGGGAUGAAGGCCCUCGGGUUGUAAACCCCUUUCAGCAGGGACGAAUCUGACGGUACCUGCAGAAGAAGCCCCGGCCAACUACGUGCCAGCAGCCGCGGUAACACGUAGGGGGCAAGCGUUGUCCGGAUUUAUUGGGCGUAAAGAGCUCGUAGGCGGCUCAGUAAGUCGGGUGUGAAACCUCCAGGCUCAACCUGGAGACGCCACCUGAUACUGCUGUGGCUGGAGUCCGGUAGGGGAGCGUGGAAUUCCUGGUGUAGACGGUGAAAUGCGCCAGAUAUCAGGAGGAACACCGGCGGCGAAGGCGGCGCUCUGGGCCGGUACUGACGCUGAGGAGCGAAAGCGUGGGUAGCAAACAGGAUUAAAUCCCCUGGUAGUCCCCCCCAAAAAAGUAGGGCACUGGGUGUGGGUCUCAACCAACGGGAUCUGUGCCGUAGCUAACGCAUUAAGUGCCCCGCCUGGGGAGUACGGCCGCAAGGCCAAAACUCAAAGGAAUCGACGGGGGCCCGCACAAGCGGCGGAGCAUGUUGCUUAAUUCGAGGCAACGCGAAGAACCUUACCUGGGUUUGACAUGUAGGGAAAAGCCGUAGAGAUACGGUGUCCUUCGGGGCCCUACACAGGUGGUGCAUGGCUGUCGUCAGCUCGUGUCGUGAGAUGUUGGGUUAAGUCCCGCAACGAGCGCAACCCUUGUCCUGUGUUGCUACCGGGUAAUGCCGGGCACUCUCAGGAGACUGCCGGGGUCAACUCGGAGGAAGGUGGGGAUGACGUCAAGUCAUCAUGCCCCUUAUAUCCAGGGCUGCAAACAUGCUACAAUGGCCGGUACAACGGGCUGCUACCCCGCGAGGGGACGCGAAUCCCUUAAAGCCGGUCUCAGUUCGGAUUGGAGUCUGCAACUCGACUCCAUGAAGUCGGAGUCGCUAGUAAUCCCGGAUCAGCCACGCCGGGGUGAAUACGUUCCCGGGCCU
RNAcentral lists this ribosomal RNA (1346 nucleotides) under uncultured bacterium. RNAcentral's name for it is "bacterial SSU rRNA". It matches the Rfam family "Bacterial small subunit ribosomal RNA", at positions 28 to 1381 of the family's 1533-position model. The record is from RNAcentral.